GAUGAACGCUGGCGGCGUGCCUAAUACAUGCAAGUCGAGCGAACAGAUGAGGAGCUUGCUCCUCUGACGUUAGCGGCGGACGGGUGAGUAACACGUGGAUAACCUACCUAUAAGACUGGGAUAACUUCGGGAAACCGGAGCUAAUACCGGAUAAUAUAUUGAACCGCAUGGUUCAAUAGUGAAAGACGGUUUUGCUGUCACUUAUCGAUGGAUCCGCGCCGCAUUAGCUAGUUGGUAAGGUAACGGCUUACCAAGGCAACCAUGCGUAGCCGAGCUGAGAGGGUGAUCGGCCACACUGGAAGUGAGACACGGUCCAGACUCCUACGGGAGGCAGCAAUAGGGAAUCUUCCGCAAUGGGCGAAAGCCUGACGGAGCAACGCCGCGUGAGUGAUGAAGGUCUUCGGAUCGUAAAACUCUGUUAUUAGGGAAGAACAAAUGUGUAAGUAACUAUGCACGUCUUGACGGUACCUAAUCAGAAAGCCACGGCUAACUACGUG
This 497-nucleotide ribosomal RNA is filed under the name uncultured bacterium. RNAcentral's name for it is "partial 16S ribosomal RNA". It matches the Rfam family "Bacterial small subunit ribosomal RNA", at positions 28 to 507 of the family's 1533-position model. The record is from RNAcentral.